CACGAACCGGGCAAACGUUAUUCGGAAUUACUGGGCUUAAAGGGUGCGUAGGCGGCGCUGUAAGUCGGGUGUGAAAUCCCUCGGCCUAACCGAGGAAUUGCGCCCGAUACUGCAGUGCUCGAGGAAGAUAGAGGUGGGCGGAACUAGCAGUGGAGCGGUGAAAUGCGUUGAGAUUGCUUGGAACACCCGUGGCGAAAGCGGCCCACUGGGUCUUUUCUGACGCUGAUGCACGAAAGAUAGGGUAGCGAACGGG
RNAcentral lists this ribosomal RNA (253 nucleotides) under uncultured bacterium. RNAcentral describes it as "partial 16S ribosomal RNA". It matches the Rfam family "Bacterial small subunit ribosomal RNA", at positions 524 to 776 of the family's 1533-position model. The record is from RNAcentral.